Molecule: non-coding RNA, 101 nt
Organism: Citrus sinensis (sweet orange)
Lineage: Eukaryota; Viridiplantae; Streptophyta; Magnoliopsida; Sapindales; Rutaceae
Source: Rfam
GUUGAGGGGAAUGUUGUCUGGUUCGAGAUCACUCGUGGACGAAUUAAUUAAUAACUUAUUGUCUUUUGAAUGAUUUCGGACCAGGCUUCAUUCCCCCCAAC